This 274-nucleotide ribosomal RNA is filed under the name uncultured bacterium. RNAcentral's name for it is "partial 16S ribosomal RNA". It matches the Rfam family "Bacterial small subunit ribosomal RNA", at positions 523 to 796 of the family's 1533-position model. The record is from RNAcentral.
AUACGGAGGGUGCGAGCGUUAAUCGGAAUUACUGGGCGUAAAGCGCGCGUAGGCGGUUUGGUCAGUCGGAUGUGAAAGCCCCAGGCUCAACCUGGGAAUGGCAUUCGAUACUGCCUGACUAGAGUAUGGUAGAGGGAAGUGGAAUUUCCGGUGUAGCGGUGAAAUGCGUAGUUAUCGGAAGGAACACCAGUGGCGAAGGCGACUUCCUGGGCCAAUACUGGCGCUAAGGUGCGAAAGCGUGGGGAGCAAACAGGAUUAGAUACCCCAGUAGUCC